GAUGAACGCUAGCGGGAGGCUUAACACAUGCAAGUCGAGGGGCAGCAUAGGGUAGCAAUACUCUGAUGGCGACCGGCAAACGGGUGAGUAACGCGUAUGCAACCUACCCUGUACAGGGGGAUAACCCGGAGAAAUUCGGACUAAUAUCCCGUAAUAAUAUCCGGAGGCAUCUUUGGAUAUUUAAAGUUCCGACGGUACGGGAUGGGCAUGCGUAACAUUAACUGGUUGGUAAGGUAACGGCUUACCAAGGCUAUGAUGUUUAGGGGUCCUGAGAGGGUGGUCCCCCACACUGGUACUGAGACACGGACCAGACUCCUACGGGAGGCAGCAGUGAGGAAUAUUGGUCAAUGGGCGCAAGCCUGAACCAGCCAUCCCGCGUGCAGGAAGACGGCCCUAUGGGUUGUAAACUGCUUUUCCAGGGAGAGAAACUUACGCACGUGUUGCGUGACUGACGGUACCUGGGAAUAAGCAUCGGCUAACUCCGUGUCAGCAGCCGCGGUAAUACGUAGCGU
RNAcentral lists this ribosomal RNA (512 nucleotides) under uncultured bacterium. Its description in RNAcentral is "bacterial SSU rRNA". It matches the Rfam family "Bacterial small subunit ribosomal RNA", at positions 28 to 533 of the family's 1533-position model. The record is from RNAcentral.